Molecule: long non-coding RNA, 699 nt
Filed under: Anolis carolinensis (green anole)
Lineage: Eukaryota; Metazoa; Chordata; Lepidosauria; Squamata; Anolidae
Description: lncRNA (ENSACAG00000032496.2)
Source: RNAcentral
GUGGAGUGGAAGAGCCUAGCGGGGGGAGGAGGGACGGAGGAGGGAAGAGCCGCAGAACAAUGGGCCCAGGAAUGGGGCAAGAGGAAACAGGCGGCUGACCUCAAUUCCAUCCAUUGAUGUCACCCAUGUUGACUAAAGACGAGCUGGCAACAAUUCAGAAUGGACUUGGUUCAAGUUGAUCUUCGUUGCUGACAACACAGCUGAUCUGUGAAGUACACAAGACAUGCACGUUAGAAAAGAAGGUCACUGAGAACAGGCUGAGGGUUGGUGAGUGGCCUGCCUUGCAGGGCUGGUGUACGGCCAUUUUGCAAAAGCUCAGCAGAGCAAGAGGGAGGAGCGAUCCGGCAGCCAUUACAGUAAGUGCAGUCUGAUUGGCUGAUGCCAAUGGAGAAGUUGCCUAGCAACUGGAGAUGGGUGGAGCCAAAGUGACAGUUGGAGCUAGGCAGCCAGGAGAAUUCUGUUCAGUUUGAAAUUCAGUCAGAGAGUUGGCUUUUGAAGUGGGAAAAUAAAGAUAGGUUUAGGGGACUGUGCUUUUAGAAAAAAGACCUCUUUGAGGAAUAUAGUUAAAAGCCUUCAGGAAAAGGAAGGGCUGAGAACUAUAUUGUGACUCUAAAGUCUAGAGUGUUGAUGUUAAAUCCCAGAGGUGGAUUUCCAAUAUUUUCUGUUGGUCAUGGGUGUUCGGAGUGCCAAGGUUGGCUC